CAUUUCCAAAUAGACCCUAAAACCCACAAUUCCGCGGGGGCUAGUUUUUGCCUCACUUUCCCCGCAACCAAACAACUUGAUCAUCUCUUUCAGGUCAGGUUACUUUAUUUUCACAGCACCUAAAGAUUCCCUUCCUUUCUAUACACUCACACGCCAGUCGCCUCUUCGACCAUAUAAACCCCUUUCCAUUGAAAGAAAAAGCACCAUGAAACCUCCCUAAAAGAACUAACGCACCCAGAUCAAAUCCGAACCCACUAUGGAUUUCGUGGAGCUGGAGGCGAUCGAGGGACUGCGUUGGUCCUGGAACGCAUGGCCCACGACAAGAAAAGAAGUAACGUCCCUCAUAAUUCCACUUAGCAUCAUGUGCACGCCACUGAUGCAAUCUUCGGAGCUCCCAAUUCUCCCCUACGAACCCCUUACCUGUACUCGGUGCGGUGCUGUCUUAAACCCUUACGCUCGCGUGGAUUACCAGUCUCGCAUUUGGGGCUGUCCCUUCUGUUACCAGAAAAAUUCUUUUCCAAUAUCUUAUUCGGGUAUUGGCGAAGCUAAUCUUCCAGCUGAGCUUUUCCCUACUUAUAGCACCGUAGAAUACAAAAUCGAUAAGAUCGAUGUCAAAUUUGCUUCCAGUUCGCAUUUGGGUUAUAGUUGGGCAAACGGGAUGUCUUCAUCUAAUACGUCUUUGUCGUCAAUGGCAUCAUUGGGGACUCCGAGAAUGUCAGCUGGUGUAGGCGCUGGUGGGGAGUUGAAGGGGAUUGGACCUGCGUUUGUGUUUGUGGUGGAUGCUUGUACGGAGGAGGAGGAGCUGAGGGCGGUUAAAAAUGAGCUCUUGUUGGUCAUUGAGCAGUUGCCAGAAAAUGCGCUGGUGGGCUUGGUUUCGUUUGAUUCAAUGGUUAGGGUUUAUGAACUGGGAUUCUCAGAGUGCUCGAGGGUGGUGGUUUUUCAUGGUGAACGUGAAGUUUCUUCAGACCAGAUACAACAAUUUAUGGGUAUACAUUGCACCAAAUUGCUGCAACUUGGAAAAAACCCAUUUGUUCAGAAUCAGGGAUUUUUGCUGCCUAUAUCUGAAUGUGAAUUCAAUAUCACUAAAGAAAUUGAAGAAAUUUGUUCCUUAGCAGUAAUCAUGCCAGGUCAUCGCCCUCAAAGGUGCACUGGAGCAGCAAUAUCAGUUGCACUUGGACUUCUUGAAGGAUGUUCAGUGCAUACAGGCUCCCGGAUUAUGGUCUUCACUUCUGGACCUGCAACUUUGGGCCCAGGGAUGAUUGUGGACUCAGACCUUAGUAAUGCCAUCAGAACUCAUAGAGACCUCAUCAAUGGUCAUACUUCUUACCAUAGAAAAUCUUGCAGCUUCUAUAGUCGGUUGUCUCAAAGAUUAUCUGAUGCAUCUGUUGUUCUUGAUUUAUUUGCUUGUUCCCUUGAUCAAGUAGGAGCAGCAGAGCUAAAAGCUCCUGUUGAGAGGUCUGGUGGAUUCAUGAUGUUAGGAGAUUUAUUUGAGUCAGAUCAAUUCAGAAAGUGCUUGCGGCAUAUUUUUGGUCGUGAUGAAGAGGGGAGUUUGAAGAUGUAUUUUGAUGCUACUAUUGAGGUGAUCACCACAAAAGAUGUAAAAAUCUGUGGAGCACUUGGGCCUUGUGUUUCUCUUCGGAAAAAAAAUGGUUUAGUGAGCGACCGUGAGACUGGGGAGGGUGGCACUUUUGCGUGGAAGUUGGGCACACUAACUAAUAAAACAUGCAUAACUUUCUUCUUUGAAGUGGGUGAUGAACAGAAGGCACAUCCGGGGUCUGCCUUCUUUAUACAGUUUAUAACGCGUUACCGACAUGGAAACAUGGGAAUCCGGAAAAGGGUUACCACAGCUGCAAGAAGAUGGGUUGGAAACAAGUCUGCAGAAAUCACUUCCGGUUUUGAUCAGGAAGCAGCAGCUUCAGUCAUGGCCAGACUUGCAAUUCACCGGACAGAAACAUGCUAUGCUCGAGAUGUUGUCAGAUGGCUGGAUGACAACCUUAUCUGUUUUGCUUCCAAGUUUGGAGAUUAUAUCGAGGAAGAUCCAUCUACCUUCCGCUUGUCAACAAACUUCUCUCUUUACCCCCAGUUCAUGUAUUAUUUGAGGAGGUCCCAAUUUAUAGAUGUUUUCAAUAGUACUCCUGAUGAAACUGCAUUUUUCCACCUGAUGUUGAACCGUGAAGGAGUUGUGGGUUCUCUUGUCAUGAUACAACCUACACUUUUUCAGUAUUCUUUCAAUGGUCCCCCAAUUCCAGUCCUCCUAGAUGUUCAAUCCAUCUUACCUGAUGUUAUUUUACUGUUUGAUUCUUACUUCCAUGUAGUGAUUCAUUAUGGGUCCAAAAUUGUUCAGUGGAGGAAACUUGGCUAUCACAAAGAUCCAAACCAUGAGAAUUUGAGAAAGCUGUUGGAAGCUCCUGAAAUUGAUGCAGAGCAAUUGGUGGCAGAACGAGUUCCUGCGCCUAAAUUGAUAAAAUGUGACCAACACAGUAGUCAGGCUAGGUUUCUUCUUGCUAAGUUGAAUCCAUCUGUUACUCAGAACUCAACAUACACAGAAGGAUCAGAAAUCAUACUCACUGAUGAUUUGAGCUUGCAAGAUUUUAUAGAUCACCUGCAAACCCUGGCAGUGAAGGCUUAAUGAAUAGGAGAGUUGUACAGAUUUUCUCCCGUUCUAGUUCUUUUGGCUUUUCCUUCGCUUGGUCUCUGUAUAUUGCUUAAGGCGUCUGGUUGUUGUACCAAGAACAGGUGCAUACAUACAUGUUGGGUGUGAGUUUUGCUUUAUUUUCUAGCUAAAGAACAGACAAAACUCAAAUGGAUUUCGCCUUCGACAACAGGUUGGGCUCAAUUUUUUGGCGCGGAAAGAUCGACCCGUGUGUUUAUCAACUCCAAAAGGGAAUAAAAUUUCAUUCUCACUCAAUGACAGAACUCAUCGAAACAGAUCUUAUUUCCCCAAUUCAACCUUUGUCGAUGCUCUGUACCCUCAUGGAGUCCGACUUCCGCAAGGGGCAGUGGCGGCGAAGAUGAAGCGCAUUAUGUACUCAAAUGAUCAUCAUCCUGGCAAAAGAUCAAGGAAACACAUAAAGACUGCUUCCUCAUCUCUUGAUUUGAACAAUGAUAUUCUAAUGGAGAGUAUUACGAGUCUCAAGUCGUUUCAACAAAUAACUGGACCUUUUAUCUUGCAAUCAUUUAUGUAUCCACCGAUGCCAAAAUGGCAAGUGAUCUUUACCAACUACAGUAUCUAGCACCUGUUGAAUGUUUAAAUUUCUGAAUUAGUGGCGACAAUGGACACCCGAAUAUGAGUUUCCCCGCAGUAUGGGUUGACAAGUAGAAGCUGGGUUGACAAGUAGAAGCUCUCUGCCUUCAAUCACUUCUAUGGGUAAAAAUAAGCUAGAAAGAGGUCAUCUGAAAUUUGCUAUGGCAAUGAUAAUACAGGCUAUGACAAGUACUCAUCCAGGCUUCGUCAACUCUCUGCUCAGCAUUUCUACAGAAUUAUCCGUAAAGAGCUCCAAGUUUCUGGAACAAUAAAUAUCUAUAUUUAUAUCUAUAUAAAUAAAUAUAAUAAAUCUGAUCUGAAAAUAAACUUUAAUGACAAAUGGCAUUCCAUUAAA
RNA transcript from Hevea brasiliensis (rubber tree), 3599 nucleotides. It is a transcript of the gene named protein transport protein SEC23 G, with no coding region annotated. The transcript has 4 exons. The record is from RefSeq and is a predicted model, not a curated record. Lineage: Eukaryota; Viridiplantae; Streptophyta; Magnoliopsida; Malpighiales; Euphorbiaceae.